GACGAACGCUGGCGGCGUGCUUAACACAUGCAAGUCGAACGGAACGGCCCCCUUGUGGGGUGCUCGAGUGGCGAACGGGUGAGUAACUCGUGAGUAACCUACCCUUGCCUUUGGGAUAACUUCAUGAAACUGGGGCUAAUACCGGAUAGGAGCUCCUGCUGCAUGGUGGGGGUUGGAAAGUUUCGGCGGUUGGGGAUGGGGUGGCGGCUUAUCAGCUUGUUGGUAGGGUAGUGGCAUACCAUGGCGUUGACGGGUAGCUGGUCUGAGAGGAUGACCAGCCACACUGGGACUGAGACACGGCCCAGACUGGGAGGGGAGGGAGGAGUGGGGAAUAUUGGACAAUGGGCGAAAGCCUGAUACAGCAAUGCCGGGUGGGUGAUGAAGGGGUUAGGGUUGUAAAGCCCUUUUAACCGGGAUGAUAAUGACGGUACCGGGAGAAUAAGCUCCGGCUAACUCCGUG
This 460-nucleotide ribosomal RNA is filed under the name uncultured bacterium. RNAcentral describes it as "partial 16S ribosomal RNA". It matches the Rfam family "Bacterial small subunit ribosomal RNA", at positions 28 to 507 of the family's 1533-position model. The record is from RNAcentral.